RNAcentral lists this unclassified non-coding RNA (352 nucleotides) under soil metagenome. Its description in RNAcentral is "partial contains 5.8S ribosomal RNA, internal transcribed spacer 2, and large subunit ribosomal RNA". The stretch from base 1 to 120 matches the Rfam family "5.8S ribosomal RNA", at positions 35 to 154 of the family's 154-position model. The record is from RNAcentral.
GAUGAAGAACGUAGCGAAAUGCGAUAAGUAAUGUGAAUUCCAGAAUUCAGCGAAUCAUCGAAUCUUUGAACGCACAUUGCGCCCGCCAGUAUUCUGGCGGGCAUGCCUGUUCGAGCGUCAUUUCAACCCUCAGGCCCCCAGUGCCUGGUGUUGGGGAUCGGCCCAGCCUUCCUGUAAGGCCGCCGGCCCCGAAAUCUAGUGGCGGUCUCGCUGUAGUCCUCCUCUGCGUAGUAGCACAACCUCGCAGUUGGAACGCGGCGGUGGCCAUGCCGUUAAACACCCCACUUCUGAAAGUUGACCUCGGAUCAGGUAGGAAUACCCGCUGAACUUAAGCAUAUCAAUAAGCGGAGGA